AAAUUGAAGAGUUUGAUCAUGGCUCAGAUUGAACGCUGGCGGCAGGCCUAACACAUGCAAGUCGAGCGGAAACGAGUUAUCUGAACCUUCGGGGAACGAUARCGGCGUCG
RNAcentral lists this ribosomal RNA (110 nucleotides) under Vibrio rotiferianus CAIM 577 = LMG 21460. RNAcentral's name for it is "partial 16S ribosomal RNA". It matches the Rfam family "Bacterial small subunit ribosomal RNA", at positions 1 to 103 of the family's 1533-position model. The record is from RNAcentral. Lineage: Bacteria; Pseudomonadati; Pseudomonadota; Gammaproteobacteria; Vibrionales; Vibrionaceae.